AAUGAACGCUGGCGGCGUGCCUAACACAUGCAAGUCGUACGAGAAAUCCCGAGCUUGCUUGGGAGAGUAAAGUGGCGCACGGGUGAGUAACGCGUGGGUAACCCACCCUCGAAUCUGGGAUAACUCCGCGAAAGCGGUGCUAAUACCGGAUAAGACCACAUUCCGUUCGCGGAAAGAGGUAAAAGCUGACCUCUCCAUAGAAGUUAGCGUUUGAGGACGGGCCCGCGUCCUAUCAGCUUGUUGGUGGGGUAAUGGCCUACCAAGGCAGCGACGGGUAGCUGGUCUGAGAGGAUGAUCAGCCACACUGGAACUGGAACACGGUCCAGACUCCUACGGGAGGCAGCAGUGAGGAAUUUUGCGCAAUGGGGGAAACCCUGACACAGCAACGCCGCGUGGGUGAAGAAGGCUUUCGGGUCGUAAAGCCCUGUCAGGUGGGAAGAAACUCUUCAGUACUAAUAAUGCUGAAGCCUGACGGUACCACCAGAGGAAGCACCGGCCAACUCCGUG
Molecule: ribosomal RNA, 507 nt
Filed under: uncultured bacterium
Lineage: Bacteria
Description: bacterial SSU rRNA
Rfam family: Bacterial small subunit ribosomal RNA
Source: RNAcentral